GAUGAACGCUGGCGGCGUGCCUAACACAUGCAAGUCGAGCGAUUCUCUUCGGAGAAGAGCGGCGGACGGGUGAGUAACGCGUGGGUAACCUGCCCUGUACACACGGAUAACAUACCGAAAGGUAUGCUAAUACGAGAUAAUAUGCUUUUAUCGCAUGGUAGAAGUAUCAAAGCUCCGGCGGCACAGGAUGGAACCGCGUCUGAUUAGCUAGUUGGUAAGGUAACGGCUUACCAAGGCGACGAUCAGUAGCCGACCUGAGAGGGUGAUCGGCCACAUUGGAACUGAGACACGGUCCAAACUCCUACGGGAGGCAGCAGUGGGGAAUAUUGCACAAUGGGCGAAAGCCUGAUGCAGCAACGCCGCGUGAGCGAUGAAGGCCUUCGGGUCGUAAAGCUCUGUCCUCAAGGAAGAUAAUGACGGUACUUGAGGAGGAAGCCCCGGCUAACUACGUGCCAGCCGCCGCAGUAA
RNAcentral lists this ribosomal RNA (468 nucleotides) under uncultured bacterium. RNAcentral's name for it is "partial 16S ribosomal RNA". It matches the Rfam family "Bacterial small subunit ribosomal RNA", at positions 28 to 523 of the family's 1533-position model. The record is from RNAcentral.